RNAcentral lists this ribosomal RNA (253 nucleotides) under uncultured bacterium. RNAcentral describes it as "partial 16S ribosomal RNA". It matches the Rfam family "Bacterial small subunit ribosomal RNA", at positions 524 to 776 of the family's 1533-position model. The record is from RNAcentral.
UACGAAGGUGUCAAACGUUGUCCGGAAUUACUGGGCGUAAAGGGCGCGUAGGCGGUUGGAUAAGUCAGAUGUGAAAGCUCAGGGCUCAACCCUGAGAUUGCAUCUGAUACUGUCUAACUUGAGUUCGGUAGAGGAGGGCGGAAUUCCUGGUGUAGCGGUGAAAUGCGUAGAUAUCAGGAGGAACACCUGUGGCGAAGGCGGCUCUCUGGUCCGAUACUGACGCUGAGGCGCGAAAGCUAGGGUAGCAAACAGG